CACACUGGGACUGAGACACGGCCCAGACUCCUACGGGAGGCAGCAGUGGGGAAUAUUGCGCAAUGGGCGAAAGCCUGACGCAGCAACGCCGCGUGAGGGAUGAAUGCCUUCGGGUUGUAAACCUCUUUCAAGCAGGGACGAUAAUGACGGUACCUGCAGAAGAAGCUCCGGCCAACUACGUGCCAGCCGCCGCCGUAAAAC
RNAcentral lists this ribosomal RNA (201 nucleotides) under uncultured bacterium. Its description in RNAcentral is "partial 16S ribosomal RNA". It matches the Rfam family "Bacterial small subunit ribosomal RNA", at positions 309 to 526 of the family's 1533-position model. The record is from RNAcentral.